This 345-nucleotide unclassified non-coding RNA is filed under the name soil metagenome. Its description in RNAcentral is "partial contains 5.8S ribosomal RNA, internal transcribed spacer 2, and large subunit ribosomal RNA". The stretch from base 1 to 120 matches the Rfam family "5.8S ribosomal RNA", at positions 35 to 154 of the family's 154-position model. The record is from RNAcentral.
GAUGAAGAACGUAGCGAAAUGCGAUAAGUAAUGUGAAUUGCAGAAUUCCGUGAAUCAUCGAAUCUUUGAACGCACAUUGCGCCCCCUGGUAUUCCGGGGGGCAUGCCUGUCCGAGCGUCAUUUGCAACCCUCAAGCCCGGCUUGUGUGAUGGGUGCCGUCCCCUACGGGACGCGCCCCGAAGGCAAUGGCGGCGUCGCGGUUAUCCGAUCAGCCAAAGUGUAUGGGGCUUUGUCACUCACUUUACGGCCCGGACCGGCGCCAGUCCGAAUCAAUCUUUUUUCUAAAGUUGACCUCGGAUCAGGUAGGGAUACCCGCUGAACUUAAGCAUAUCAAUAAGCGGAGGA